UAGGGAAUAUUGGGCAAUGGACGGAAGUCUGACCCAGCCAUGCCGCGUGCAGGAUGAAGGCCUUCUGGGUUGUAAACUGCUUUUAUCUGGGAAGAAAACACCUAUGCGUAGGAAACUGACGGUACCAGAUGAAUAAGCACCGGCUAACUCCGUGCCAGCAGCCGCGGUAAUACGGAGGGUGCAAGCGUUGUCCGGAUUUAUUGGGUUUAAAGGGUGCGUAGGCGGCCCGUUUAAGUCCGUGGUGAAAGCCUCCAGCUCAACUGGAGAACUGCCAUGGAUACUGGCGGGCUUGAGUACAGACGAGGUUGGCGGAAUUGAUUGUGUAGCGGUGAAAUGCAUAGAUACAAUCAAGAACUCCGAUUGCGUAGGCAGCUAACUAGGCUGUAACUGACGCUGAGGCACGAAAGCGUGGGGAGCGAACAGGAUUAGAUACCCUGGUAGUCCACGCCGUAAACGAUGAUUACUCGAUGUUGG
This 474-nucleotide ribosomal RNA is filed under the name uncultured Bacteroidota bacterium. RNAcentral's name for it is "bacterial SSU rRNA". It matches the Rfam family "Bacterial small subunit ribosomal RNA", at positions 355 to 826 of the family's 1533-position model. The record is from RNAcentral. Lineage: Bacteria; Pseudomonadati; Bacteroidota.